CUCUGCUAAGCCAUUCUGUGAAAUAUUUUGACGAUGCGAUGCAACAAAAGAUAGGGUCUAGGCUCCCUAAACAUAUUAGGAGACUCUCCAUCUCCUUCUUUAGUUUUCAGCAGUUGGUGAUCAACUUUAAUGAUAACAACAACACAAAACAAAUGAAAUGACAGCAGCAUUCAACACCAUGUGCCAGGUACUCUCAGAAACCACCUCUGGCCUGAAAAGGGGCCGACUGAAACAUAUACCUAUUUGAAGAUCCCUGGCACACAGAUACAGCAGAAGAAGCCCAAAUGUGUUAUCAAACCAUUGAGAGAAACAGAACUUUCCUCAAAGCCAAGAAACAGCUUUCAAAAGGAAGUUUCCC
Molecule: long non-coding RNA, 358 nt
Filed under: Pan troglodytes (chimpanzee)
Lineage: Eukaryota; Metazoa; Chordata; Mammalia; Primates; Hominidae
Description: long non-coding RNA NONPTRT015257
Source: RNAcentral